ACAACAUUUGGACCGUUAGUCUGUCGAGCAAUAUCACCCGCUCGGUGGAAGAUCUUCCCUUUGUCGU
Molecule: microRNA precursor, 67 nt
Filed under: Bombyx mori (domestic silkworm)
Lineage: Eukaryota; Metazoa; Arthropoda; Insecta; Lepidoptera; Bombycidae
Description: mir-2774 microRNA precursor family
Rfam family: mir-2774 microRNA precursor family
Source: Rfam by way of RNAcentral